UCUAUUUGGUUUUUUCGGGGGGGUCUCCAUUUUUCCUCAAAAUAAUGUCACCAUAAAAAUGAUGUUCUAGCGCAGGGCGUGUACUCGCAACACACUCAGCUUCUAUUUUGUCCUGUUGACCAGCUCACUUGACUUGGAAUUGACAUGCACUUUAGCAAACCAUCACAAACAUGAACAUGCAGCCAUCACCACCGACA
Molecule: long non-coding RNA, 197 nt
Organism: Syngnathus acus (greater pipefish)
Lineage: Eukaryota; Metazoa; Chordata; Actinopteri; Syngnathiformes; Syngnathidae
Exons: 2
Source: RefSeq, a predicted model, not a curated record